Molecule: transfer RNA, 67 nt
Filed under: Marmota monax (woodchuck)
Lineage: Eukaryota; Metazoa; Chordata; Mammalia; Rodentia; Sciuridae
Description: tRNA.Val
Source: RNAcentral
GGAAUGUGACUCAGUGGUAGAGUGCUAGCCUCACAUGCAAGAAGCCCUGGUUCUAUCCCCAGCACCA